GCCUACGGGUGGCCGGGCGGGAUGUAACCGGCUGCUGAGCUGGCAGUUCUGUGUCGCUAGGCUUCUGCCCGGCCGCCGCCGCACAUAAGCUGCGAGGAGGAGCUUUACGACUUCCCGGUCUUCGGGGCCGGGCGCAGCAAGGGCCAGACUCUGCGCUAGCAGGCGCUGCGCGCCAACCGGCCGGCACCUGUCGCAGAAGGUGCAACCGAUCGCACUGUCGCGCAGAAGCUCCUCAAUGGCCAGCGCCAGCUGCAGCCCCGGCCGCCCACUCGCCUCAUCUGAGCCUGGGUACGUGCGCCCCACAACGCCUCCCCCAGCCAGGGCCCGGGGAUCCCCGGGAGCGUCCCCGGCUACCUGGCGCCGCUCAUCCUGGGUAGGGUCGGCCCCCUCUGAGGCUGCCUGGCAUGAGGGAGCUGCACCCCUGAGCUUGACCUCUGACGGCCCUUUGUAAUAGCAUUAAGUCUUUGAAACUUUGUAGCGGGGUAGAAGGGGCUAGGAAAUGAAGAAAACAUCUUUUUAAAAAUAUAAGCAGUCGGCUGGGCGAGGUGGCCCACGCCUGUAAUCCCAGCACUUUGGGAGGUCGAGGCAGGUGGAUCACGAGGACAGGAGUUCAAAACCAGCCUGGCCAGCAUGGUUUCACUGAAACCCCGUCUCUACUAAAAACACAAAAAUUAGUCGGGCGUGGUGGCUGGUGCCUGUAAUCCCAGCUACCCGGGAGGCUGAGGCAGAGAAUUGUUUGAACCCGGGAUGCGGAGGUUGCAGUGAGCGGAGAUCGCGCCACUGCACUCCAGCCUGGGCAACAGACCAAGACUCCGUCUAAACAAACAAAUAUAUGUGUGUAUAUAUAUGCGAUCGAGCCCGGGAGGUUGAGAUUACAGUGAGCUGAGAUUAUAUAAGCGAUCGAGCACUGGAGGUUGAUGUUACAGUGAGCUGAGAUUGCGCCAUUGCACUCCAGCCUGUGUAACAGAGGGAGACUCUGUCUCUAAAAAAUUAUAUGCAAGUGAGAGCUUUUCUUCCAGCGCUCAUGCUCAGACUGAAGAAAGUAAUUGGGCCAGGCCCGGUGGCUCACGCCCGUAAUCCCAGCAUUUUGGGAGGCGGAGGCGGAAGCGGGUGGAUCACUUGAGCUCAGGAAUUCCAGACUAGUUUGGGCAACAUGGUGGAAGCCUGUCUCUACAAAAAUACAAAAAAUUAGCUGGGCAUGGUGGCACGCACUUGUAGUCUCCGCUACUUGCCGGGCUUAGGCGGGAGAAUCGCUCAGCUGCAGCCUCGACCUCCAGGGGCAAUCCAUUUCAGCCUCCCAAAGUGCUGAGAUUACAGGAAUGAGCCAUCGUGCCUGGCUUUACACUAUAUUUUAAUACUUUUUUUGAAAAUGGAAACUUUUACAGGCAAUUCACUUCCUUCAAACUAAUGAUAAGGAAGUGAUGCUGUUCUGUUCUGUUUUGUUUUUUGUUUUUGUGGGUUUUUUUUCUUUUUUGAGAUGGGGUCUUGCCCAGGUUGGAGUGAGUUGGUGCAAACAAGGCUCACUGCAGCCUUGACCUUCGGGCUCAAGGAAUCCUUCCCUGUCAGCCUCCCCGGUAGCUAGGACUACAGGUGCAUGCUACCACGCUUGGCUAAUUCUUUUUUUGAAAUGGAGUCUCACUCUGUCUCCCAGGCUGGAGUGCAGUGGUGCAAUCUCGGCUCACUGCAGGCUGGUCUCAACCUCUGACUUCGGCUGGUCCACCCACUUCUGCAUCCCAAAGUGCUGGGAUUACAAGUGUGACCCACCGCGCCUGGCGAUUUUGCUCAUUUUAGAUACUAGAACUUUUUAAUUUAAAUUUUUUUUUUCCUGAGAUGGAGUCUUACUUUGUCUCCAGGCUGGAGUGUAGUGGCGUAAUCUCGGCUCACUGCAACCUCCGCCUCCUGAGUUCAAGCGAUUCUCCUGCCUCAGCCUGCCAGAGUUGCUGGGACUACAGGUGCGCACCACCACACCCAGGAGUUCAAGGCUGCAGUGAGCCAUGAUCGUACCACUGCACUCCAGCCUGGGCAACACAGCGAGACCCUGACUCCACAAAUAAAUAAAUCAACAUCAUAUGAUCUGUACCAGGGUAUAGGCAGGUGCUAUGAUCCCCACUUUUCAUCCUCAACUCUAAGUUGAGUCAUACAUCAACCUCUAGUAAAAAGUGGCAUGCUCUCAGUCAAAGGGGUAAGCCCAAACCACGCGGAGAGAAUCUUAUCUCUUUUGAGAGCUAAUAUAAAAAGAAUUCCUCCUAGGCAUAAAAAUAUUGUGACACCAGUUACUUAGGCUAAACAUGCCUAUUAUGCUAAGUGAGUUAUUAACAAUAAAUACUUUAACUCUGUGCCAUGUUAAUUAUCAUAAUCUGAUUUAUAAUUUGUUUUAACCUUAGGUUAUAUAUACCUUGAAGCCAUUUAUAUUUUGGUAUACUUGUAAUAAUUACUAUACACCGGACUAUGUAUAUUGGACUAAACACGGAGAGUCAAAAAAGAGUAUGUGGUCAGAGUAGAAAUCAUGCCCUAGCUUCCUUCGUGUCUACCUCCUACCUUGAGUAGAAGUGGUAGAAAAAGUAAUUACCUAAGAUUUUUUGGAUUCUGGUUUGUGGAGAAGCACCCUUAUAUUUAGGCUGAUGGGCGGCAAAAUUAGAAAGUAUUUUUUGUGAUUUAGAAUUUUAUACGGAGAUGUUCAUUGUGAUUAAUUAUUCUUUGUAUUAGCAGAUUUUUGCUUUUUAUAGCUGCAUGAUUUCUUGUUUAUUAUUCAUUCAUUAUUGUCUAUUAAUAAAGAAAAACUUUAUUUCACUGAAGCAGUGAUAUAUAAUCCAACUUGGAUUUUUAAAUAAUGACUGACUUUUUUUCUUUGGGAAUACAUUACUGUUAAAAAUGUAAUUAUUAGAUACAUUACUUUUAAUGAAUAUAAGUGGUAUAAUUAGAAGGCUGAAAAGAAUCCUUGGAAAUGUGAGUUUAAUUUGAUAGCUAAGAAACUGAGGACAAGUUACUUAUUCUUUGUAGCAUAUUUUCUAAUGUCAUUUCAUUGUCUCACCAAGAAAUACUUGCAUAAAGCAAGUUCAAUUACAGCAUCUGUUGAAUAUUUAAGGUUGAGUAAAGUGGGUGAGUUUAACAGAUAUUUUCCCUUAUUUCUUUUAGGCGAAUCUGGAUUGGGAAAGUUGAUAUUAAUCAACUCAUUAUUCCUCACAGAUUUGUAUUCUCCAGAGUAUCCAGGUCCUUCUCAGAGAAUUAAAAAGCCUGUACAGGUCUACAUAUUGGUAUUUUUAAUUGAUGAUAAGCUGGAAUAAUAUUAAUACACACAAAGCACGUGUUGUAACUUUCAUUAUGCUUCCCUAGAGGUAAGAUGCAAAUUUGCCCUUAGCCAGUGUAAGAUGGUAAAUAUGACUUCAUAAAAUCAAAAAAACAGAGGAAGUACAGUUAAUCGAAAGAAUUAUCUUGACUAGAACUUUCCAAAUUUGUCCUAAGGAUUCUCCUAGAGAUGACACUGUGACAUAGUAACCAAUUCCCCUGGAGUUGUGCUAUGUAGUAUGAUAGUCAUUUGCCACAUGUUUAAAUCAAUUAAAAUUAAUUAAAUUAAAAUGCAAUUUCUCAUUUGCUCCAGAUACAUUUCAAGUGCUCAACAGCCACAUGUGGCAAGUGGCUGCCAUUUUGUGCAGCACAUAUAUGAAGAUUUUCAUCAUUGUAGAAAAUUGCAUUGGACAGUGUAGAGAAAACAUGAUUCAUAGAAAAACUAUUGUUAUUUAAAUAGUGUUCUAUAUUAGUCAGUGGGAUAAUACCAUAUCAUAGUUGAAUGGCAAUAGCAAUUCUGUAAAACUCCCAUGCUAUAUGUGAUCUAAUUUACUGCUUCUCAGUCUUUGCUACGCAUUCCAAUCCUGGGUAUCCUGUUAAAUUUAUUUCUUCUAGUAGUUCUGAGAUGGGCUGCCUUUCUACAUUUCUAACAAGAUCCCAGGUGAUGCUGAUGCCGCUGGAUGGUAGAUCACACUUUAUAAAGCAAGGGGCUAGACUCUAGAUAUGCACUUUUUAUUAAAUAGUACAGCAGCCUGUAGCCACAUGUGGCUAUUAAUCUUUGAAAUGUGGGUAGUCUGAAUUGUGAUGUUCUGCAAAUAUAAAAUAUGCCACAGAUUUCUAAGACUGAGCAUGGAAAAGAAAAUCUCCGUAAUUUUUUAUAUUGAUUGUAUACUGCAGUGAUAAUAUUUUGGAUGUAUCGGGUUAAAUAAAAUUGACUGAUUUCACCUUUUUCCUAUUUUAAAAGUGGCUACUAAGAAAAUUUUAAAUUACUUACAUGACCGACAUGGUAUUUUUAUUUGGCAGCGCUGCUCUAAGCUGUUGAUGAAAAAUAUUGUUGGUGAGCUCUGCUUAGGUAAUAUGUAGGACACGAGCAGAGAGGAGGCACGUGAACAGUUCUGGCUGAAGUAGGCUUCAUUGAGGCCGUGAUGCUUUUAGCUGGAUUUGAAGAAGUGGUAGUGAGCAUCCCAGUGCACAGGAUAGGAGGACAGUCUAUAUAUUCUGAGCAGUAACUCAUAUAUAUCAUACUGCAAGACCCCAAAGGAGUAAUUUUUUGAAGUAAAUAUCUUAUUUCUCCUUUUUAAUGUUUCUAUUUUGGGAAUUUUUUUUUUUUUAGUAACCUUCAUAGGGCUUGAGAUUUAAAAUUACCUGCAAAAUUCUACUCUAAAAACUUGAUCCUACAUGCUUAUUUAUUUUGUGAUAAAUAUUGGAAAUUUUAAACCUAAGCAAGAAAAUGAACUUUGAACUUUCUUAAUUUGGGUAUCUAUUAUGAAUACCUUCACUUAAGUAUUUAUGAAUUUAGAUAUGAAAGGUAAAACUAACCACUAUCCAAAUUAAUAUACAGUUCAUUUCCAGAACCCUAGUUUCUUCCAUGUGCUCACUCGCAUUCAGUAUUACAACCCCCAAAGAUAAACACCUUACUGACUGCCUUCUCCAUAAAUUUGCCUGUUCUUGAACGUUAUAUACGUAUACUUUUUUGUAUCUGUUUUCUUUCAGUGAAGAUUAUGUCUGUAUUAUUUACUCAUGUUGGGUGUAGUUGUUUUUUUCAUCGUCGUAUAAUACUCCAUUGUGUGAAUGUAUAAAGUAUAUCCUUUAUUAUUUAUUGUAGAUAAGCCUUUGGGUUUUCAGUUUUUUACUAACGGGAACAUUCUUGUGCAUGUCUUAGUAGACUUAGGCACUCAUUGCUGUUGUGUGUGCAUAAAGAUAUAAAGGUAUUUGAGUUUAUUUUAUUUGAUUUCUAGUGAGGUUGAACAUGUCUUGUACUCAAUAACUGUUCAGAUUUCAUUAAAGUCUUUUGGUAAUCUUAAUAUUUUCUGUCAUUUUCUUGCUGAUUUAUAGGAGUUUGAAAAAUCUAAUAAUCCCCUACAUUUUAGAUAUUGCAGACAUUUUCUCCCCAGGUGAGCAUCUGUUAAAGAUGUGACAUGCCCUCAAUUUAUUUUAGAAUUCUUACAUUGGCUUAGCUUCAAAAUAAAUUGCCUAAACCCAUUUUACCUUCCUUUAAAGUAACACUUCAAAAAUAUCCUCUUCUGUUGUGAAUAUCUUCCCGGAAACUCUCUUUAUCUUGAAAACAAAGGGGUAAUGGAGGUACUAGAGAAUAUCUCUAGUAGGAUUUUUAAGACAGGCCUGUGCACCACUGUUAAAUAUCUUUUCUGUACCAAAAAGAAGACCUGUAACAUUUGAGAACCAGAUUGAUCCUUAGUAGAAUCCUGUAGAAGUCCUCUUUCCUGAUUGAACCAUAGAGGUGUAUUCCUUUAUAUACUGAAAACUAGCUGAAGAUAAUCUAAACUCUUGUGCCCAGUUAGGAAAGAACAUGCCAUAUUAUGGACAGGGUCAGAGUCAUUCAAGAAGCCUGAAUAUAGUUAGAAAAUGAGAAUGUAAUCUUUUUAAUAGUUGGCUGGCUCUUUACCAAGCCCAGUAGUCUUGAAGAUAUAGGGGAAAUAGUGUAAACGGUUGUCAAGAUGAAUCUAAAAUGGAAAUUAAUCAGUUCCCUAGAAUAGAUUGAGAAAUUAGCUUUAGGAAAAAGAUAAAUUUCACACACACUGUACCAUGGAAGGUACAGUGCUGAUUCAGACAGACUGGGAAUGGUCUCAUUUUUAAGUGGUGAUGUGAGGUACUUCACUGAGCAUUGUGACAGGCACGGGCUUGGGAAGAGCCUAUUAGGAAAUGGGAGAGGCAUGAGACUAAGGAGCACAUAAGAGUAAUAUUAGCAGAGAAAUUCUUUUUGAGGUUGAAGGUCAUGAAUUUUAUGGUAUAGGAAUAGAAAGAGGGGUUAAUCCAGAAUGGGAUUUGAGUUGGAAAGGGAAAGAAAUAAAGGUUUUGGGAAGGAGGUUGCUAAUAGAAAAUGAGAGGGGCAAGGGAUUUGAGGUCUCAGUAAGGAGACAGGGAUAUGAGGAGUGGAGAGGUUCAGAAUAGAAAGCCAAAUUAGAGUUUUGGGAUCAACUUUCUUCUCAGUAAAGUAGUCCUGGGUCUUCGUGAGAAGGAAGUAUUCUUCAGGCAUAACUGUUCUACUAUUGGUUACUUCCUCUUUCAUUGUCUUGUGGAACACGAUGAAACAUUUAAGAUGAUAUUCAUCUUUUGAGCCAAUAAAUAAGGGAAAUAGAUAGUUUUUGUGUUUGAGCUAAGUGGAGUAUCUCAGGCCAUUCCAAUGUCUUCAGAGUUUUGGCUGUAAUGCUACCUCUUGAGCAAGUGUAGGUAGAGGUAAGCUCUUGACAGAAAAUUUUAACCCUCUCUUCAAAAUGUUAUAUGCUUAAUUAAAUAACUUCUUAAUUUACCUUAAUAAAUGGCGUAUAAACAUUAAGUUAGAAAAGGUUAGUGUAUAUGAAGCUGUAUAAUCAACAUUGUUUGACUUUUUUUCCUCAGAUUGUAAAACUGAAAACUCAGUAUACUAAUACUCUUGUAUACUGUAUACACUCAGUAUUAGAAAAUGAGUACCUUUGAUUUCUGGAAUCUCGGAUGCCAAAAGAGGUCUCAAUAGAUGAAUUAUACAUAGAUGAUUCAUAGACGAUAGUUUUAGUUUUAUUUAUUUUUCAGGGAAAAACAUUUGACAAUGUUCUUGAUUCAUUUUUUUGGUAUUAAAUUAUGCAGCUAAUCUUAGAGAACCCUGAGUGAUGCCAUAAAAGAUGUUGAUGUGGCCUGCUUAAGGAAAGUGCACGGGAAAGUGGCCAUUUGGAAUAGAUUUGUUAAGAAAAGUUUGAAAUUCUUGGACUCGAACUAAUUUGUUUUCCAUGGAUCCCAUGAGGAUACUUGUAAAAGCAGAUGAUAGGGUCCAGUUGGAUCCUGUGAAUGGCACUAGUUUGCAGUUAUGUUUUCUGGAUCUCUUCCAUAUGUCGCUGACUUCUUUGUAUUUGACCAUGUAUGGACAUACAGAAUUUCAUAGGCCAGAGAAGAAAAGAAGCUUUAUAAACAUUCCUUAUGUGUGUAAAAUACAAAUCUUCAUUUGUCUUAGCAAGUCAAUAAGUAAUUAAGUUGUUGAACUGAUUUUUUUUUUAAACAGGGAAAUAUCUUAAAAUUUAAGCUGUUAGGUUAAAAUGUGUGUUUGGUAUACAGCAUAUUACUGAAGGUAGAAUGGGCUUCAUUUGGUAAUAAAGGAACCAGAAAUAUUUUUAAGUAAAAUUGGGAGAUGAUUCAUGUAGAUUAACUAUAUUUUUGUAUCACUUUCUAGAAUACAGUACUAUGUUGUUUAAAAGAGUAAGUAGGUAAAGGAGUGGUAUAAUUACUUUGGAUAUUUCUGCGUCAGCCACAGUUACCAUGAAUAAAUGAUCUGUCUUUAUAAAGGAGAUGGAAGUGAAUUCAAGAUAUUGAGAUGUUAGAUUUGACUGGGUUGUCCUUUGACUAGAAGAUCACCAGAUAAAGAAAAUGUAAACUUCCUAAACCAGAUAAGAUGAUAUUGUUAAAAAAUUUUUUUGGCCCAGCACUUUGGGAGGCUGAAAUGGGAAGAUUGCUUGAACCCAGGAGUUUGAAGCUGCAGUAAGCUAUGAUCUACCAUGCACUCCAGCCUGGGCAACAGAGUGAGACCCUGACUAAAAAAAAAAAUUUUUUUUCCUUUGGUUCUCAUGAUUUCACACUGAUGAAUCUGAUUGUUUUCUCUGAGUCAUUUUGCCUCUCUCAUGUUAUUAGGGUAACCUGAUAAUAGACAUGUUAUCUGAGUUAUGUGGUAUGUAACAGUGAUCUUCUAAAUGAUGUGCAUCCAUCACUGAUACUGAGGAUGAUCAGAAACUAUUACAACUCUUAUUUAUUGAUCUUUACUUUUAAUCUACAGAUAAAUGAUAAUACAUAUUAAUACUUAAUAUUCAGAUUGCCAAUAGUAUAUAUUUGGUGGGUAAAUAUCUUUUGGAUCUGCAAAAUUUUCACUGAUAGUUUGUAUCAGGAUCAAAGCAGUUUGAAGAACAUUAAUCUAAAAGAUAAGACUUUGGCAUCUCAUUUCUCUAAAAGAUAAGUCAUGCAUGUACACACUCAGGCAAUUUUUUUCAGUUUUAUAAGUUUUAUUCUUGAUAAUAAAAUUCUUUUAACAGAAAACUCUUGAUUGCUAUAGACCUCUGCUGUGUAUUCAGUAGUCACUAGCCACAUGUGGCUAUUUAAGUUAAUUCAAAUUAAAUAAAAUUAAAUAUCAGUUCCUUAUUUGCACUAGUCAGAUUUUAAGGAGUAAGUAGCCACAUGGGCAAGUGGCUACCAUAUUGGACAGUGUGGAUACACAACAAUUCCAUCAUCUCAGAAAGUGUUAUUGGAUAGUGUGGCUACAGACUUUUCUUGCUCAGCAAUCUUAGUCUCCGCAUGUUAGUCUCUUCAUGCAUUAGGUAGCAUCUAUAAAACAUGCCAAAAGGAAAUAGGCUAUCUCUAAAAGUGUCCCAAACUUUUUGUCUUGUAAAUUAGCUUAUCAGCAUACUUGGAGCCUCUUGCCUUAAAAAGGACUUGAUAUAAAUGUGUAUCAGGAGAAAGCCUAUCUUAUGAAGGAAUUAUUCCCUUUUUAUUUGAAUCCAUGUUUGCUUUAUCUUCGGCUCCUGAAAACUGAUACUUUGCAUUUAACAGCAGCAUAUGCCCAGGAUGAAUGAUAAUACAUCUCCUGAUACAGAGCUUGAGGUUACAGAAUAUCUUAAAUUGUUCCAGGAACUGUUGUUAUCAUUUAAGUCCAAUAAUCAGUAAGAUUUCACCCUACCAGAAUACACUUUUUUUUAUUAACUGUCUGGACCUUUGCUGAUUACAUUGUCCGGAAUGUGGAGUAUCGCAUUUGAGAAGAGGAUUGGAUCCUAGCCAUAACAUAAAUAUAAGGGUAAUUACAUCCAUGCUGAGAAAGAUUUAGGAAUGAUAGUAAGUUCAUUUGAGUGAGUGGUUUGGGCCAAACUUGAUAGAGAAUAGUCCAGGAAGACAUUUACUAUAAACAGUAGAUUAAAUGUUCUUGCCUGGUUAAUUACAUUUGAACUCUGUUAAUGACUGAAUCACUCAAACUGCUUAAUUGUAUUAUUAGAUGCACAUUUAAGUUAUGUAUUACAUGUCUUUAGUGGUGAUCAGAAUUUUAUCAGUUCCUCUGUCUUUCUUUAUACCAAGUAUGACUCAUAAACCCAGUAUUAAUUUGCCAAGAGAUUGGCAUACUAUUUGUAUAUAUGCUUUUCUUUCAAAUAAUCUGGAUUCCCAAUGCCCACAAUCAUUGAUCCUAAAGAAAAUGUGAGAGUAGGUAGAUAAACUCAAACAUCCCUACCAUCACCCCUGGUAGGAAAUCACUGGUGUAAUGUAUGAUAUUAACAUCUGCACCAAUUACUCUUAUAGGUGGAACAAUCCAAAGUUUUAAUCAGAGAAGGUGGUGUUCAGUUGCUGCUUACAAUAGUUGAUACCCCAGUAUUUGGAGAUGCAGUGGAUAACAGUAAUUGGUAAAAAGGAUUUGUCCUCACAACUUUCCAGUGUAUUUGGGGUACUGGGGUGGUUAAACUUUCUCUUCUUAACAUUUUAAAACUCUUCUUAGCAAAGGUCACCAAACUUCAAGUAACAUGACAGGUUUGUAUACCAACUUUGCCACUUAUUUGACAAAGUUUAACUUCAAAGUUAAACAAAGAAGUUUAACUUCUUUGAACCCAUUUACUUUUUGAUAAAAUGGAGAUAAUACCUAUCAUAAAAUUGUUUUGAAGACAUAUUCCAAAAUAACGUAGCUAGAUAGAAGAAUUCUCAUUAUUGGAAGAAAUUUAAAAUGCUUUGCUUUAAUUUUAUCCAUUUGUAUAAAUUCUAUCACAAUCCUAAUUUAAACCUGAUAUUUAGACCUUCAGUUUUUCCAUAAGUCCUAAGUGAAGAAAACAACUAUGAAAUUUUAGUCUGAAGUAAUUAUCUUAGUAUUUUAUAAAUAACUUUAAUUUUGUUUGAAUUCACAUUGUUUUUGAGGUAUUUUUCUGUCAACUCUUAAAACUCCUAAGUUCAUCAUGAAGUUUUUAUAUUAUUUAAGUAAUCUCUCAUUUGAAAUUUGAAACUGAAUAUAAUCGUUUUCAUAUUAUGAAGUGUGUUAUUAAUACACUUACUAGUGCCAAUAGUAUGCUAAUAAUUUAGCUGUGUUUCAACAAUAAAUAUUUUCUUUCAUUUGGAAAGUUUUGAAAUAAUGAAUAAAGAUUUAUUCAACACAAUUUAUAUUUUUGAAUCUUUAUAUAGAAUAACUUGACAUAUCUUCCAUUGGUUAAUUCAUUUUGCCUAUUUGAAAAUAUUGAUUAUUGUCCUUUAACAGUCAUCAGUUAAUUCAUAUGUAGAAUUGCAACUUAAUUGUUUUGUUUAUUUGCAUUCUAUAGCUGGCAGCCUGCUAUCAAUUACAUUGAUAGUAAAUUUGAGGACUACCUAAAUGCAGAAUCGCAAGUGAACAGAUGUCAGAUGCCUGGUAACAGGGUGCAGUGUUGUUUAUACUUCAUUGCUCCUUCAGGACAUGGGUCAGUAACCUGAUACUUCUGAUUCCUUUUUGUUGUUGUUGCUUACUGUUACCUUUAUGUGCAUAUUUGAGUAAUCUUUAAGUUUGUGAAGUACAUACAACUAUACCCAUUAUUAAGUACCAAAUUUCAUGUAGAAAUGUCUUAGUUGAAAAGCCUUUUUAAGUCCUGUGCAAGCUAACAGUGAUUUUACUCCUUAGUUCUUAUUCAUAAGGAUUUUCCCUGCUUCAUGGAAAUAAACAGUGUUGCCACCAUGGUUUGAGGUCUCAAUGUGGCAAAUUUAGCUUUCAUGUUGAACUACCAAAUAAAGAGAAGCAGCCAAACCAGUUAGACAUAUUCAAAAUAAAUCCAGAGAUGCUAUUUAUUAUAAGUCUCAUAAGAGAUGGUUAUCAAAAGCACUUGCAUGCCAAUGUUUUCUUGUGCCAUUUCUUAAUGCAAAAAAUCUGUUUGGCUUCUGUUUCACCUUAGCUGUCAUAGACAUGUUUAAGUAUCAUGUUGUCAGUACUAACCUUUUGUUUAUUAGGACAUAAGACCUAAGAAUCUAGACAUUAAUCUGAUGCGAUUGUUCUGUUUGUUAUAGUUAGCCUGUACUCCCUUUUUUUGUUCUUUGUACUUCCCCUUUCAUUUUGAGUACAUAUAUGUGUCAUUUGUAACUGCAGAUUUUUCCAAUUAUUCUUCCUCAGUCUUUUCCUUUGGGUAAGUAACUCAGCAUACAUAAUUCAGCCACCUGGUGACUGUAACUCCACCAUCUCUCCACCAAAAGAACUGUAGUAGCAUCAAGCUACAUAGCAUUAAGUUAUCUAACACUCACAUUACAGUAGAGUAAACCAAUUCCUUCAGGUAUAUCUUUCUCUUCCAUUUUUGGCUUCUCGCUCUCUUUUUUUUGUUUGUUUUUAUAGAUGGGUCAAUGCCCAUUAUCACUCUAGAUGGAUAAGGGAGCCUUAAUUAUAUACUUAUAUUUUUGCACUGUCAGAUUGGAGUGGGGUAAAAAUGUUUCUUCUUUUAUGUGUAAUACUCUUGUUUUUUUUUUGGUUUUUUUUUUUGCUGUGCCCUAGACCAUUACAUAACUGAAGACUCCCACCUUCAGGCAGGUUUGGGUAGUACACGUUUGUAACUACCUGGCAUUGCCUUUUGUUGAAGUAAUUUCAGUUUUUAUUAGUAGUAGUAGUAGUAUACUUUAAGUUCUACAGUAUAUGUUCACAAUGUGCAGGUUUGUUACAUAUGUAUACAUGUGCCAUGUUUGUUUGCUGCACCCAUUAACUGGUCAUUUACAUUAGGUAUUUCUCCUAAUACUAUCCCUCCCCCAUCCUCCAUGCCACGACAGGCCCUAGUGUAUGAUAUUUCCCGCCCUGUGUCCAAGUGUUCUCAUUGUUCAAUUCCUACCUAUGAGUGAGAAAUACCUAUGCGGUGUUUGGGUUUCUGUCCUUGUGAUAGUUUGCUCAGAAUGAUGGUUAACAGCUUCAUCCAUGUCCCUGCAAAGGACAUGAACUCAUCCUUUUUUAUGGCUGCAUAGUAUUCCACAGUGUAUAUGUGCCACAUUUUCUUAAUCCAGUCUAUCAUUUUAUGGUGUUCUCAGUUUAUAUAUUUAAAUCACUAAACUGACUCUUUGACUUAAAAGGCUCAAAAAAAGUCAUCUCAAAAAUACAACACACUUUAUAACCUUUUAUAAGUAUUUGUGUAGCUUCUUGAAUUUAUAUUUUUAAAUCAUUCUCAUUUAACUUGUCAGGGCCUUUUCCUGAAAGCCAGGAGAGUGAAAUCUUAACCUGCAGUUAAGUCAAUAAAAUUUGUCAGCUUAUAACCAAUUUUAUUAUUUUAGAUUUUCUGGACUCUCUCCAACUACAGUAAUUCUCAUGAAAUCACAUUCCUGCCAUCCCCUUGGGGAAAAUUUUAUUUCUUAAAAUUGCAUGGGAAAUGAGAGCUUUUUUAAAAGAAAAAAAGUUUUAUAUUCAAAUGAUAUGUAGUGGCUUUGUGCCAUUUCUUAUUCAUCACAAGGGGUAAGAUGUUUAAAAUUGCUAUAUCUUAUAUAUAAAAAUGUACCUUUGAAUAAUUUCUCAGUUUAACUAUUUUUAGAAAUGGAGCAAAGUUUUGCCCAUUGGUACAUGAUAUUGUGGAUUAAGUGAAAGAAUAUGAGGCUGGGUGCGGUGGCUCACGCCUGUAAUCCCAGCACUUUGAGAGGCUGAGGCAGGUGGAUCACCUGAGGUCGAGAGUUCGAGACCAGCCUGACCAACAUGGAGCAACCCCGUGUCUACUAAAAAUACAAAAUUAGCUGGCCGUGGUGGCGCAUGCCUGUAAUCCCAGCGACUAGGGAGGCUGAGUCAGGACAGUUGCUUGAACCUGGGAGAUGGAGUUUGCGGUGAACCGAGAUCACACCAUUGCACUCCAGCCUGGGCAAUGAGAGUGAAACUCCAUCUCAAAAAAAAAAAAAAAGAAUAUGACACAGAAUUUUAUGUAUAGAGUUCCAGGUACCCUGCUCACUACAGACUGAAAUUCUGUGCAGUCUAAUAAAUGAAUCAGAGCCUUUCCAUCUUGUCUGGGUAGUCCCUAGGUUCCCUUUUUAGAGGGUUUUGUUUUUAGAGUGAUUAUAAAUUCAUCCAACAGUGCACUUUCAGUGCCUCCUACCUCCCUCUACCAAGUAUGAACUGCAUGCAUGGCUGAUAUAUGAUUUUGGCUAUUAUCGCUUCAUGUGCAUUGUUCACUAUUUUGUAACUGUUAUUAAAGUAAAAUACUGACUUGGAACAUGAAUUUUAAAAUGGUGUUUUAUCCUUCUAGUAUUGAUUCCCACUUUUAGAAAAAUUGGUGUCAUUCAGUGAGUUUUAUAUAGAAGGAUUUUUUCCCUUAGAAAUACAUACAUACAUACAUACAAAAAAAAUUUGUUAUUUUCCCUGUAGUUGUUUAUUAUGCUGUAGAAUUUGAGGCUAAAUAGUCUUUUCUCUCUGCUGUGGGUUUAUCUUCUAGAAAUGAUAAAGGAUUUUCUAUUGCUUAAAAACAAGAUUUAAAAACUAAAUUUGUUGACGAAAAGACUAGCCAAUAUAAAUCUAAAUGGACAGAGGGAAAAAAUUCAACCAGAAUGUAAUACACAUGUGAACUAAAUGUUUUCUGUUGCUGACGUUUUGUAGGCUUCUGAAAUUUAAUGAGACUUUUACAAGGUUUACCUUUUUUCCUAGAGUUUAAUUUUUAAACUGACUUAAAUGUUUUUUGACACUUUGGUUAUAUUUAAGAAGUUGACUUCUCUAAUUUCCUUGUCAUGUUUAUUUUUAAAUAUCUUUCUCUUUAAAAGUUGGG
RNAcentral lists this long non-coding RNA (14174 nucleotides) under Homo sapiens (human). RNAcentral describes it as "non-protein coding lnc-FBXO28-1:10". The record is from RNAcentral. Lineage: Eukaryota; Metazoa; Chordata; Mammalia; Primates; Hominidae.